Molecule: transfer RNA, 62 nt
Filed under: Poecilimon luschani
Lineage: Eukaryota; Metazoa; Arthropoda; Insecta; Orthoptera; Tettigoniidae
Description: tRNA-Phe
Source: RNAcentral
ACUUAGAUAGCUUAAUAAGAGCAUAACACUGAAGAUGUUAGGGUGGUAUAAUUGCCUUUGAG